This 253-nucleotide ribosomal RNA is filed under the name uncultured bacterium. RNAcentral's name for it is "partial 16S ribosomal RNA". It matches the Rfam family "Bacterial small subunit ribosomal RNA", at positions 524 to 776 of the family's 1533-position model. The record is from RNAcentral.
UACGUAGGGUGCAAGCGUUACUCGGAAUUACUGGGCGUAAAGCGUGCGCAGGCGGCUUUGCAAGACAGAUGGGAAAUCCCCGGGCUUAACCUGGGAACUGCAUUUGUGACUGCAUGGCUGGAGUGCGGCAGAGGGGGAUGGAAUUCCGCGUGUAGCAGUGAAAUGCGUAGAUAUGCGGAGGAACACCGAUGGCGAAGGCAAUCCCCUGGGCCUGCACUGACGCUCAUGCACGAAAGCGUGGGGAGCAAACAGG